CCAGCAGCUUUUUUCAGACUCGAUCUCGCCAACAAUUUCAUCUCAUCUAGAGGAUUCUGCGGCUCCUAAACGAGCUGAUAGGCGGAGUAACCCUGUGAAGAUUUUCGGUCGGCAUGAGGGCUAAGGUUAGCACAACUUCAUCGAUUUAGAUUAAUUCAAAUGUAUUUUUGUAAAUCUAUCUCCGUUUUGAAGCGUAUUUUCGAUUGAUAUUUAUUAUUGCGAGAUCAUCUUUUUUCUUAUAUGAAUUAUUUUUAACUGUUUUCUUAUUCUGAAUUGUUGUAUUUUAUUGCCUACUUUCUUAUUAAAUUGAUAUUUCUCUAUCGCCUGUGGCAUUGUUCUAGUUGCGCCAUGACCUUUAUUAGAUUUGUCUUUGUGCCAAAUAUGUGUAAUCUGUCAGUGUUUAAUGAUGCAUUUUUUUAAUCCAUAUUUCCAUUAUUGUUUUCAUUAAAAUGUUAGAUGUACAAAUCAUCAGAUGUUACCUUUUAAACUGUAGAUUUACCUAAUUAAAAAAAAAAGGAAAAAGGGUUUAGGGUUUCACUUGAACUGGAAAUUGAGAGUGCUGGUUCUUGAAUCUAGAGUCCCAGAAAAAGUUGUUGAAAUGUGAUUGUUAUUUCACAUUAUAAUUUUUCUCUUGCUUAUUUUCAAUCAUACAACCUUCUAUAAGAUAACUUUACAAGAUAACUUUGCACGUAAAUCUAAAAAUUUUCUUCAUUUUUCAACCACAACUUCUGCAAAAACAAUACUAUUUCAAAAAUUAUAAUCCCAAAUAAUAGCAGGCAAAUGGGGGUUAAAUUUUGCGUUGAGAAGGGAGUAUGAGUUCACAAUGUACAAUACAGGUCUUUUAGGUUUAAUCUUAUGCGGUUGUUAAGUUACACUCUCAUGCAUUUUACAGUGGAAGAAGAAGCGUAUGAGGAGGUUGAAGAGGAAGCGCCGAAAGAUGAGACAAAGAUCCAAGUAGAUGAUGGAAAUGGAUACUUGGAUGGGUUCUUUUGAGCGGCCCGGCCAUUUCUUCAUUGGCUAUUUGGUGUUUUCGAAUGAAUGGAAGGAAGUUCUGUAGACGGGAGUUGUCUUGUUUUCAAUUAUGUUCCGAUUCCCAUUCUAUAUUCUAGACUAUAAUUGAGUAUGGCAUAUGUUUUCAUUUCGAAUAUAAACAGUAUAAGAGACUUGUACUGCACCUGUUCUAUCCAAUAUUUACUUCCUUUUUAAGUUUAUCUGCAUCAUAUUUUUUAAAUUUUGCCGGAUUUUGAUUCAGUUUUAAAAUUCUGCAUGUAUGUUUUGCUUGUAUUACAAGCUCGUAAUAGUCUAUUUUCAUAAUCAUCUUUAUAGCCCCAAUUUGGCCCCCAUUAUUUUAAAUUAUGAGUAUCUCGUAUUUUCAUUCACACAAUCUUCUAUAAAAUAAUGUUAUAUAAAAAUUGAAUUUUUUUUUUUUUAAUUAUACAUUUUUCAAAAAAAUAUUAUUCUAAAAAUUAUAAAUCGAAAUAAUGGGCAUCUAAUGUGAGGGGGGUUGUAAGUUUGUACAGUCUUGUACUAGCAGAAUUUUCCUUCUUAGGGCUGUACAAGUGCAAUUUUCCUUCUCAAUAUUGUGGUAAGCAUUUUCACUGUGGGAUUUUUUUAACAGUUGGCCUAUCUGUUUAUAAAAACUAUUUAUAGGCAGG
This 1655-nucleotide long non-coding RNA is filed under the name Olea europaea subsp. europaea. The record is from RNAcentral. Lineage: Eukaryota; Viridiplantae; Streptophyta; Magnoliopsida; Lamiales; Oleaceae.